RNAcentral lists this ribosomal RNA (253 nucleotides) under uncultured bacterium. RNAcentral's name for it is "partial 16S ribosomal RNA". It matches the Rfam family "Bacterial small subunit ribosomal RNA", at positions 524 to 776 of the family's 1533-position model. The record is from RNAcentral.
AACGUAGGAGGCAAGCGUUAUCCGGAUUUACUGGGCGUAAAGCGCAUGCAGGUGGUUUUGUAAGUUGGAUGUGAAAGCUCCUGGCUUAACUGGGAGAGGUCGUUCAAAACUACAAGACUUGAGAUUGGUAGAGGAAAAUGGAAUUCCGGGUGUAGUGGUGAAAUGCGUAGAUAUCCGGAGGAACACCAGUGGCGAAAGCGGUUUUCUGGACCAAUUCUGACACUCAGAUGCGAAAGCUAAGGUAGCAAACGGG